GACGAACGCUGGCGGCGUGCUUAACACAUGCAAGUCGAACGGAAAGGCCCUGCUUUUGUGGGGUGCUCGAGUGGCGAACGGGUGAGUAACACGUGAGUAACCUGCCCUUGACUUUGGGAUAACUUCAGGAAACUGGGGCUAAUACCGGAUAGGAGCUCCUGCUGCAUGGUGGGGGUUGGAAAGUUUCGGCGGUUGGGGAUGGACUCGCGGCUUAUCAGCUUGUUGGUGGGGUAGUGGCUUACCAAGGCUUUGACGGGUAGCCGGCCUGAGAGGGUGACCGGCCACAUUGGGACUGAGGUACGGCCCAGACUCCUACGGGAGGCAGCAGUGGGGAAUAUUGCACAAUGGGCGGAAGCCUGAUGCAGCAACGCCGCGUGCGGGAUGACGGCCUUCGGGUUGUAAACCGCUUUCGCCUGUGACGAGGCGUGAGUGACGGUAAUGGGGAAAGAAGCACCGGCUAACUACGU
This 467-nucleotide ribosomal RNA is filed under the name uncultured bacterium. RNAcentral describes it as "partial 16S ribosomal RNA". It matches the Rfam family "Bacterial small subunit ribosomal RNA", at positions 28 to 506 of the family's 1533-position model. The record is from RNAcentral.